GCGGCGGUGGUGAAAUGGUAGACACGCAAGCUUGAGGUGCUUGUGGACAUUAGUCCGUGGAGGUUCAAGUCCUCUUCGCCGCA
This 83-nucleotide transfer RNA is filed under the name Spirochaetales bacterium. RNAcentral's name for it is "tRNA-Leu". It matches the Rfam family "tRNA". From Rfam's summary of the family: Transfer RNA (tRNA) molecules are approximately 80 nucleotides in length. Their secondary structure includes four short double-helical elements and three loops (D, anti-codon, and T loops). The record is from RNAcentral. Lineage: Bacteria; Pseudomonadati; Spirochaetota; Spirochaetia; Spirochaetales.